GCCCGGUGCGGGAUGGCUCGGACCCCGGCUUCCGGCCGGUGAGUGCUGGUGGCGAUCGUUCCAAUCGGUCGGUGGGUUC
RNAcentral lists this transfer RNA (79 nucleotides) under Actinokineospora fastidiosa. RNAcentral's name for it is "tRNA-Gly". The record is from RNAcentral. Lineage: Bacteria; Bacillati; Actinomycetota; Actinomycetes; Pseudonocardiales; Pseudonocardiaceae.